Molecule: ribosomal RNA, 468 nt
Filed under: uncultured bacterium
Lineage: Bacteria
Description: partial 16S ribosomal RNA
Rfam family: Bacterial small subunit ribosomal RNA
Source: RNAcentral
GACGAACUCUGGCGGCGUGCUUACCACAUGCAAUUCGAACGGAAAGGCCCUGCUUUUUUGGGGUGCUCGAGUGGCGAACGGGUGAGUAACACGUGAGUAACCUGCCCUUGACUUUGGGAUAACUUCAGGAAACUGGGGCUAAUACCGGAUAGGAGCUCCUGCUGCAUGGUGGGGGUUGGAAAGUUUCGGCGGUUGGGGAUGGAGUCGGGGCUUAUCAGCUUGUUAGUGUGGUAUUGGCUUACCAAGGCUUUGACGGGUUGCCGGCCUGAGAGGGUGACCGGCCACACUAGGAACGGGAUAACGCAAAGACUGCUAUGGGAGCCAGCAGUGGGGAAUAUUGCACAAUGGGCGGAAGAAUGAUGCAGCAACGCCGCGUGCGGGAUGACGGCCUUCGGGUUGUAAGCCGCUUUCGCCUGUGACGAAGCGUGAGUGACGGUAAUGGGUAAAGAAGCACCGGCUAACUACGUG